AAUACUUAUUAAUGCCAACAAUGGAUGCCUAGGAGAUUUUGGCCGAGGAAGGACGCAGACGGCGGCGAUACUCGUCGGGGAGGUGUCAUCAACCUUUGAUCCGGCGGUUUCCGAAUGGAGCAAUCCGGCCAUCGUAAGAUGGUCAACCAAUCAUAAAAAUAGUUCCGUAAGGGAUUAUAUAGCGGUUGGCUGGGUACGGCGUGAACUGAAACAUCUUAGUAACGCCAGGAAAAGAAAUCAUAUGAGAUUCCCUUAGUAGCGGUGAGCGAAAGGGGAAGAGCCUAAACCCGCCGAUUCGGCGGGUGUUGCAGGGCAGACGAUAUUUGAGUGUUGCGAAUAGCAGAAAGAUCCGGAAUGAUCUUCCAAAGAAGGUGAAAGACCUGUAUGUGAAAUUCAAGACACCGAUAGUUUGUACCUAAGUACCAUGGAGCACGAUUAAACUCUGUGGGAAUCCGGGUCGACCACGAUCCAAGGCUAAAUACCAAAAUCUACCGAUAGUGAACUAGUACCGCGAGGGAAAGGUGAAAAGCACCCCGGAAGGGGAAUGAAAUAGAACUGAAAUUGUUGGCUAACAAGCAGACGAAGCUGGCUGUUGGUCUUUGGCUUUUAGCUAUUGGCUAUGAGGAAAAAUUAUUGUAGUCUAACGACGAAUAAUUUCUUGUGGCUAAAGACUAAUAGCUAGUGACCAAUAGCUAGUGACGUCGUGCCUAUUGAAGAAUGAGCCGGUGAGUUUUUGAUUGCUGCAUGUUUAACCAAUUUACAUUGGGAAGACGAAGUGAAAGCGAGCCUUAAUUGGGCUGUCGCUUUAAGCGACCAGUAGCAGUCAUUAAACCCGAAACCGGGUGAGCUAACCUUGAGCAGGGUGAACCCCGACUAAAGUCGGGGGGAGGCCCGAACUCGUGACUGUAGCAAUAGUCUGAGAUGACUUGAGGUUAGGGGCAAUAUGCCAAACGAACCCGGAGAUAGCUGGUUCUCCCCGAAAUAUAUUAAGGUAUAGCGCUUGGUAAUUAAAGCAGGAGGUAGAGCACUGAAUGGUUUGCGGCGACGCAAGUUGUCGUAACCAAUCAAACUCCGAAUGCCUGUCUUUUUUAUCCAAGUAGUCAAUCUUGUCGGUCUAAGCCGAUGAGAUUAAAGGGAAACAGCCCAGACUCCCGAUUAAGGCCUCAAAAUAGAAGCUAAGUUUUUAAGGAAGUCAAAUUCCAGAGACAACCAGGAGGUUGGCUUAGAAGCAGCCAUCCUUUAAAGAUAGCGUAACAGCUCACUGGCGGAUGGAAUUUGGCGCCGAAAAUGUAACGAGGAUUAAGCUUCUUGCCGAAAUCGGAGACCUUUUGCUAGAGACUUUAGAGUAGUUAAGCCCCACUUCGCUGAAGCUUCGUUAGGGGCCACCCUUCGCUUGAAAAAGUGAAAGUUGGCAUACGAGGUAAAGCGUUGCUGGAAAAUUGGCUUGCCACUCCGAAGCCUCUGGCGAAGGGUGGUAGGGGAGCGUCUUAAGUGCAGUGAAGUCGGUCUGUAAAGAUAGAUGGAGCGCUUAGGAGUGAGAAUGCCGGCAUGAGUAGCGAAAUGCGCCUGAGAAUGGCGCACACCGAAAGCCCAAGGUUUCCUCCGCAAUGUAUGUCAACGGAGGGUAAGUCGGGUCCUAAGGGAGUUCCUCGUUAAAGGGGAUUAGUCCGAUGGACAAGUCGUUAAUAUUCGACUACAGGAUAUAUGUAUGUAAGGGGAUUUCGAAGUUGGAAGAAUUGAGCGGGCCGUAAGGCUGCCGUCUAAGCAGUAAAAUAGGGAUAACCGGAAAAUCCGUUAUUCCGAUUAAUUGAACUGCGAUGGAAAGUUCCCUGUUAAUCAGGGGACGAUUUGAUCUCUUUCAGUUUCCAAGAAACGUCUCAUUACGCCCCGCUCAGCGGGGCAAAACGUAUAUCUUCCCGUACCGCAAACCGACACAGGUGGGCUGGUCGAGAAGACUAAGGUGAUCGGAAGAUGGAUGAUUCAGGAACUCGGCAAAAAAGCUAGGCGUAACCUAUGGGAGAUGCCUUGCCCCGCUAUGCGGGGCUGCAACAAAAGUUUACUUAGCGACUGUUUAUCUAAAACACAGGUCCCUGCAAAGCCGAAAGGCAACGUAUAGGGGCUGACACCUGCCCAGUGCCGGUAAGUCAAUGAUCUCUAGUGAAGCUCGUAAGAGUACAGCUUAGGAUCAAAGCUCCGGUGAACGGCAGCAGUAACUAUAAACACAGUUUGUAGUUGUAAAAGUCGACUAAAUGCUGGAAUACCCGUACCGUAGUCUGCAAAUUAGCGGACAAACGGUUGAAGUAUCUGACGCUACCAUGUAAAAUGGUGAUAAUGCAGUCAGCGCGGACAAUCAGCAGGAAAGACUUGAGUCGAGAAGAACUAGGAUUUUAUCUAGCCGGAUUUGUUGAAGGAGAAGGUAGUUUUAACGUUUCAUUACGAAGGAAGCCUGAUUAUAAAGUAAGCUGGCAAGUCGUGAUGAGCUUUAAUGUCUCACAAAAAGAUCCAACAAUUUUGUAUUUAUUACAAGAAGAGUUGGGAUGUGGGAUUAUUAAAAUACGUAAAAUUGAUAAUCUUUUCUCUUAUGAUACAACAAAUCCAAAGGAUAUAAUCCAAAAAGUUAUUCCAUAUUUUCAGAAAUACCCACUGAUCUCAGAUUCUAAGCAGAAAAACUUUUUUAUUUUUUGCGAAAUAGCGCAAUUAAUGGAAAAAGGUGAGCAUAGAAAUCUGAAAGGGUUAAAAAGAAUUCUUGAACUUCGAGAAACAAUUAACGAAGGGAAAGGAAGAAAACGAAAAUAUUUAAUAACUGAUGUUUUUCCGACUUAAGAAUCCUCAGAGACUAUAUGUCGACUCCCGAUUAAAUCGGGAAUGAUAUAGUCCGACCUCUAUAGCGAUAUAGAGAUACGUAAUCAAUCGUACAUGUAACAAAGUGAACUGUUCUAAGGUGAAAUUCGUCGCCCUAGAAAUGACGUGUUUUAGAAAUCCGACUAUAUGCUGGAAAGACUCAGCAUCCAACAGUACUUUAAAAAGUAACAAUCUGAUUGGUGGAGUUAAUCAGCAGGAAAGACCCCGCUUAGCGGGGAAUCCUCAGAGACUAUACGUCGGAUGAUACAUCAGGUGAUGUUUCAAAGAUAUAGUCCGAACUCGUAAGCGAUUACGAGAGUCUAAGAUAAAGGAUGUCUUAGGAAUAACAUAUUGAGCGAAGUUCCUUGUCGGGCAAGUUCCGACCCGCACGAAAGGUAGAACGACUGAGUAACUGUCUUAAUCAUCUAUCCGGCGAAAUUGAGAUGGCUGUGAAGACGCGGCCUAGGUAUACAUGGACAAAAAGACCCCGGGAGCUUUACUGUAGCUUGGCAUUUGCAAGCUCGUUUUAAUUGUUUAGAGUAGGAGGGAGAUUGGUCGUUGGACUUUGGUCAUUAGUCUUUGGUUGACUAAUAGCUAAAGACCAACGGCUAAUCGUCAGUGAAACACCUCUCUUUGAAAUGAGUGAGCAUCACUUCUUGCCGCAUAAAAAUACGGCAGAGGGACAUUGUCUGGCGGGCAGUUUUACUGGGGAGGUAGACUCCUACAACGCAACGGAGUCGCGCAAUGGUUGGCUAAUCUUGAAUGGAAACCAAGAUGAUAGCGUAAAGGCAAAAGCCAGCUUGACUGCGAGACUUACAAGUCGAGCAGGUACGAAAGUAGGCCUUAGUGAUCCUCCGAUGCUUGGUGGCAAGCGCGGAGCUUAACGGCUAAAAGCUACCCCGGGGAUAACAGGCUGAUCGCAUCCAAGCGUCCACAGCGACGAUGCGGUUUGGCACCUCGAUGUCGGCUUAACGCAAAAGCGUUUGGGCCCUUCAGCGAGUAAUUGCUGAAGCAAAUUGGCUAAUAACGGUGAACUCCUAAUUGACUGAAAAAGUCUUCUACGAUUACAAUGGAGUCAAUGGACAAUACCGUGGGAAGUCGAGGGUUUGUGAAACUAACACAAAGACAAGAAGAAAUUCUCUUAGGGAAAAUGUUGGGAGAUGGGUUUCUUGAACAAAACGGAAGGAAUGUAAGAUUGAAAAUAGAUCAUGGAGCCGAUCAAAAACACUAUGUUUUUUGGCUUUAUGACGAGUUUAAAAAUAUAGCAUUAGAACCUUAUCAAAUAUUUGUUCACGAUAAGCGAAAUAGUCAAAUAUAUGAACAUUGGCGUUUUGCAACAUAUUCAUUAUCAAUAUUAAAUUCCUGGAGAGACUUUUUUUACUUAAACGGGAAAAAAUUUAUUCCUUUUAGGUUAACUGAGUUAAUUACUCCUUUGUCUUUGGCGGUUUGGUAUAUGGAUGACGGUUUCCGUCGGACAGAUUGUAAAGGUUUAUAUCUUUGCACAUCUGCAUAUUCGAUGGAAGAGCAUUAUUUAUUACAGAAGAUUCUUGAGCAGAGAUUUAAAGUUCAGACAUCACUGCAUUUUGCAGGUAAGAAUGUCAGGAUAUAUGUCUCUUCCUCUCAAGUAAAUAAAUUUUGUAAUAUUGUUCAGCCAUUCAUAUUGCCAAGAUUUCAAUACAAACUCUUUGACCCCGUAACGACUGAUUCUUUAGCAAGCUAAAUUGAACCUUUAGUUUGUGAUAGAUGAGAUUCUUUAUUUUAUAUGGGAAUCAUACGCCAACACCCGGAUUAGCCGGGUGAUGAUAUAGUCUAACCCUUAUGGAAACAUGAGAUUGGUUGCAUCGCAUCCUGGAGCUGUAGAAGGUUCCAAUGGUCCGGCUGUUCGCCGGUUAAAGCGGUACGCGAGCUGGGUUCAGAACGUCGUAAGACAGUUCGGUCUCUAUCCUGUAUACACGUUUGAGAUUUGAGGAGGUUCGUCCCUAGUACGAGAGGACUGGGAUGUGGGAAUCCCUGGUGUGCCAGUUGUUCCGAAAAUGUCGGGCAGUGCUGGGUAGCUAGAUUCCUAUCGGAUAACCGCUGAAAGCAUCUAAGUGGGAAGCCGUCUCCGAGAUUAGAUCUCGAUUCCCGCCGAUUUGGCGGGAGAAAGACCCCUGGUAGACUACCAGGUUGAUAGGCGGGCGGUGUAAGUGCAGUAAUGCAUUGAGCUUACCCGUACUAAUGGUCGAGAAGUAAAACUUU
RNAcentral lists this ribosomal RNA (5079 nucleotides) under Patescibacteria group bacterium. RNAcentral describes it as "23S ribosomal RNA". It matches the Rfam family "Bacterial large subunit ribosomal RNA". The record is from RNAcentral.